GAUGAACGCUGGCGGCGUGCCUAAUACAUGCAAGUCGAGCGAACAGACGAGGAGCUUGCUCCUCUGACGUUAGCGGCGGACGGGUGAGUACCACGUGGAUAACCUACCUAUAAGACUGGGAUAACUUCGGGAAACCGGAGCUAAUACCGGAUAAUAUAUUGAACCGCAUGGUUCAAUAGUGAAAGACGGUUUUGCUGUCACUUAUAGCUGGAUCCGCGCCGCAUUAGCUAGUUGGUAAGGUAACGGCUUACCAAGGCGACGAUGCGUAGCCGACCUGAGAGGGUGAUCGGCCACACUGGAACUGAGUCACGGUCCAGACUCCUACGGGAGGCAGCAGUAGGGAAUCUUCCGCAAUGGGCGAAAGCCUGACGGAGCAACGCCGCGUGAGUGAUGAAGGUCUUCGGAUCGUAAAACUCUGUUAUUAGGGAAGAACAAAUGUGUAAGUAACUAUGCACGUCUUGACGGUACCUAAUCAGAAAGCCACGGCUAACUACGUG
This 497-nucleotide ribosomal RNA is filed under the name uncultured bacterium. RNAcentral's name for it is "partial 16S ribosomal RNA". It matches the Rfam family "Bacterial small subunit ribosomal RNA", at positions 28 to 507 of the family's 1533-position model. The record is from RNAcentral.